AGAGUUUGAUCAUGGCUCAGAUUGAACGCUGGCGGCAGGCCUAACACAUGCAAGUCGAACGGUAACAGGAAGCAGCUUGCUGCUUCGCUGACGAGUGGCGGACGGGUGAGUAAUGUCUGGGAAACUGCCUGAUGGAGGGGGAUAACUACUGGAAACGGUGGCUAAUACCGCAUAACGUCGCAAGACCAAAGAGGGGGACCUUCGGGCCUCUUGCCAUCAGAUGUGCCCAGAUGGGAUUAGCUAGUUGGUGAGGUAACGGCUCACCAAGGCGACGAUCCCUAGCUGGUCUGAGAGGAUGACCAGCCACACUGGAACUGAGACACGGUCCAGACUCCUACGGGAGGCAGCAGUGGGGAAUAUUGCMCAAUGGGCGCAAGCCUGAUGCAGCCAUGCCGCGUGUAUGAAGAAGGCCUUCGGGUUGUAAAGUACUUUCAGCGGGGAGGAAGGUGUUGCGGUUAAUAACCGCAGCAAUUGACGUUACCCGCAGAAGAAGCACCGGCUAACUCCGUGCCAGCAGCCGCGGUAAUACGGAGGGUGCAAGCGUUAAUCGGAAUUACUGGGCGUAAAGCGCACGCAGGCGGUCUGUCAAGUCGGAUGUGAAAUCCCCGGGCUCAACCUGGGAACUGCAUUCGAAACUGGCAGGCUUGAGUCUUGUAGAGGGGGGUAGAAUUCCAGGUGKAGCGGUGAAAUGCGUAGAGAUCUGGAGGAAUACCGGUGGCGAAGGCGGCCCCCUGGACAAAGACUGACGCUCAGGUGCGAAAGCGUGGGGAGCAAACAGGAUUAGAUACCCUGGUAGUCCACGCCGUAAACGAUGUCUACUUGGAGGUUGUGCCCUUGAGGCGUGGCUUCCGGAGCUAACGCGUUAAGUAGACCGCCUGGGGAGUACGGCCGCAAGGUUAAAACUCAAAUGAAUUGACGGGGGCCCGCACAAGCGGUGGAGCAUGUGGUUUAAUUCGAUGCAACGCGAAGAACCUUACCUGGUCUUGACAUCCACAGAACUUUCCAGAGAUGGAUUGGUGCCUUCGGGAACUGUGAGACAGGUGCUGCAUGGCUGUCGUCAGCUCGUGUUGUGAAAUGUUGGGUUAAGUCCCGCAACGAGCGCAACCCUUAUCCUUUGUUGCCAGCGGUCCGGCCGGGAACUCAAAGGAGACUGCCAGUGAUAAACUGGAGGAAGGUKGGGAUGACGUCAAGUCAUCAUGGCCCUUACGACCAGGGCUACACACGUGCUACAAUGGCGCAUACAAAGAGAAGCGACCUCGCGAGAGCAAGCGGACCUCAUAAAGUGCGUCGUAGUCCGGAUUGGAGUCUGCAACUCGACUCCAUGAAGUCGGAAUCGCUAGUAAUCGUGGAUCAGAAUGCCACGGUGAAUACGUUCCCGGGCCUUGUACACACCGCCCGUCACACCAUGGGAGUGGGUUGCAAAAGAAGUAGGUAGCUUAACCUUCGGGAGGGCGCUUACCACUUUGUGAUUCAUGACUGGGGUGAAGUCGUAACAAGGUAACCGUAGGGGAACCUGCGGUUG
This 1522-nucleotide ribosomal RNA is filed under the name Salmonella enterica subsp. enterica serovar Manhattan. RNAcentral's name for it is "bacterial SSU rRNA". It matches the Rfam family "Bacterial small subunit ribosomal RNA". Lineage: Bacteria; Pseudomonadati; Pseudomonadota; Gammaproteobacteria; Enterobacterales; Enterobacteriaceae. The record is from RNAcentral.